Cinara cedri is the source of this 917-nucleotide non-coding RNA. The record is from the annotation of a GenBank genome assembly. Lineage: Eukaryota; Metazoa; Arthropoda; Insecta; Hemiptera; Aphididae.
UACAUUACACACAAUUUAUUUAUGUUUUACCAUUAACUAAAACGUAUAAUAAGUUACAACACGAUAUUAGUUAACUUAUAUUUGUGUUCAAUUUUCAAAUAUUUUAGAUUGGUCAAAAAAAUAUAUUCACAUAAAACCCGACGAACAAUACCGAGAAAUACGAUUUUUCUAAUAGGUGCUAUUUUAUCUUUAAACAGUUAUAAAAGAAAACACUAAUAAAUUAAAACUCAAUAUACCUUUUUUGACCACUAAGUACAACUUAUAAUAAACCUUGUCCUUAAAAGAAAUUCUGUUUAGGAAUAGUAAAGGUUUUUAUCUCCAUUAAUAAGUACUAUGAAUAUCAAAAUUUCAUACCCCACCACGCUCAUCAAUGCACUAAAUCUAUUAUCGGAGGAAAACUGGUACACUUCAAUAAAUUGGAAAUUUCAAGUUUGUUGAUUGUCGUUAUGAGGCUGUUGCCUUAAAAUACCUAUUUGUUUUUCCAACAUUUCUCGCGUUUGACUGUGGCUAAUUUCGUGAGUUGUAGAAAUUGCGGUCUGAGGAUCGAUAACUACCUAUCUAAAAUAAUGUUUGGAAUUUUUUUUUGUAAAUUUCAUGUUUUCAUCUAGUUUGUGGUGUUAACUUAUGCAAAAUCCGAAAAUAUAAAAUUUUUCAAAUUACAGUUUUUCGUAAUAUACUAAUACCCAGUGGCGGCUCGAGAUGGUGCACAAAUUAAUAAUUAACAAGAAAUGACUAUGAUGUUAAUGUUUAUCGUUUUAACUGUAGUUUUUUAGUUUAUCUAUUACAAACUAAUCUUUUCUCUUUAUUAGUUUCAAUGACAAUACAAAUAAACAAUUGUGUUAAAGUCUAAUUAGAUAACUUAAUCUCCAAAAUAUAACAUACCUUUUUUUUGUUGCACUUUGGAUCCAAUUGUUGAG